GCUCCUGUCGUCUAGCCUGGUCUAGGACGCGCGGUUCUCAUCCGCGUAACGGGGGUUCGAAUCCCCCCGGGAGCA
This 75-nucleotide transfer RNA is filed under the name bacterium. Its description in RNAcentral is "tRNA-Glu". It matches the Rfam family "tRNA". From Rfam's summary of the family: Transfer RNA (tRNA) molecules are approximately 80 nucleotides in length. Their secondary structure includes four short double-helical elements and three loops (D, anti-codon, and T loops). The record is from RNAcentral.